UAUGUCUCUUCCACUGCUUCGUAUGGUCUGCUUCUUCAGUCUGCACCGUCUUGUGAACUUUCGGCUUUCUCUGAUGCGGAUUGGGCUGGAAGUCCUGAUGAUCGGCGAUCCACGGGGGGAUAUGCAGUGUUCUUUGGUCCUAACUUGAUCGCCUGGAAUGCUCGCAAGCAAGCCACCGUGUCUCGUAGCAGUACUGAAGCUGAGUAUAAAGCAGUUGCUGAUGCUACCGCUGAGAUCAUAUGGGUACAGUCCUUAUUGCGGGAGUUGAGAAUCUCUUCAGGUCAUCCUCCAGUUCUGUGGUGUGAUAACAUUGGUACUACAUACCUUUCAUCUAAUCCGGUGUUUCAUGCUAGGACGAAACACAUUGAGGUUGACUAUCAUUUUGUUCGGGAACGUGUUGCACAGAGACUACUUUGUAUCAAGUUCAUCUCCUCAAAAGAUCAACUUGCUGACAUCUUCACGAAGCCUCUUCCACAACCACAGUUUGUAGGCUGUAGGCGCAAUCUUAACUUACUUUGUACUUCAGGCUAUAGUUAA
RNAcentral lists this ribosomal RNA (537 nucleotides) under Triticum aestivum (bread wheat). RNAcentral describes it as "partial small subunit ribosomal RNA". Lineage: Eukaryota; Viridiplantae; Streptophyta; Magnoliopsida; Poales; Poaceae. The record is from RNAcentral.